Molecule: ribosomal RNA, 1394 nt
Filed under: uncultured bacterium
Lineage: Bacteria
Description: 16S ribosomal RNA
Rfam family: Bacterial small subunit ribosomal RNA
Source: RNAcentral
AGAGUUUGAUCCUGGCUCAGGAUGAACGCUAGCGACAGGCUUAACACAUGCAAGUCGAGGGGCAGCGGGGGAGUAGCAAUACUCCCGCCGGCGACCGGCGCACGGGUGAGUAACACGUAUGAAACCUGCCCGUAGCAGGGGGAUAAGCGGAAGAAAUUCCGUCUAAUACCGCGUAACAACCCUUGGAGGCAUCUCCUCGGGUUUAAAGGAAGCGAUUCCGGCUACGGAUGGUCAUGCGUCGCAUUAGCUAGUUGGCGGGGUAACGGCCCACCAAGGCGACGAUGCGUAGGGGUUCUGAGAGGAAGGUCCCCCACACUGGUACUGAGACACGGACCAGACUCCUACGGGAGACAGCAGUGAGGAAUAUUGGUCAAUGGCCGCAGGGCUGAACCAGCCAAGUCGCGUGAGGGAUGACGGUCCUAUGGAUUGUAAACCUCUUUUGUCAGGGAGCAAAGGGCGUCACGUGUGGCGUUUUGCGAGUACCUGAAGAAAAAGCAUCGGCUAACUCCGUGCCAGCAGCCGCGGUAAUACGGAGGAUGCGAGCGUUAUCCGGAUUUAUUGGGUUUAAAGGGUGCGCAGGCGGAAUGUCAAGUCAGCGGUAAAAUUUCGGGGCUCAACCCCGUCGUGCCGUUGAAACUGGCGUUCUUGAGUGAGCGAGAAGUAUGCGGAAUGCGUGGUGUAGCGGUGAAAUGCAUAGAUAUCACGCAGAACUCCGAUUGCGAAGGCAGCAUACCGGCGCUCAACUGACGCUCAUGCACGAAAGCGUGGGUAUCGAACAGGAUUAGAUACCCUGGUAGUCCACGCAGUAAACGAUGAAUACUAACUGUCCGGGCAGAAUGAUGUCUGGGUGGUACAGCGAAAGCGUUAAGUAUUCCACCUGGGGAGUACGCCGGCAACGGUGAAACUCAAAGGAAUUGACGGGGGCCCGCACAAGCGGAGGAACAUGUGGUUUAAUUCGAUGAUACGCGAGGAACCUUACCCGGGCUCAAACGACGGAUGGAUGUUUCUGAAAGGAGGCAGUCCUACGGGACAUCCGUCGAGGUGCUGCAUGGUUGUCGUCAGCUCGUGCCGUGAGGUGUCGGCUUAAGUGCCAUAACGAGCGCAACCCCCAUCGCCAGUUACCAGCAAGUAAAGUUGGGGACUCUGGCGAGACUGCCGGCGCAAGCUGUGAGGAAGGCGGGGAUGACGUCAAAUCAGCGCGGCCCUUACGUCCGGGGCGACACACGUGUUACAAUGGCAGGUACAGAGAGAUGCGAUGCGGCGACGCAGAGCGGAACUUCAAAGCCUGUCUCAGUUCGGAUUGGAGUCUGCAACCCGACUCCAUGAAGCUGGAUUCGCUAGUAAUCGCGCAUCAGCCACGGCGCGGUGAAUACGUUCCCGGGCCUUGCACUCAC